Molecule: ribosomal RNA, 515 nt
Filed under: uncultured fungus
Lineage: Eukaryota; Fungi
Also listed under: 1 other name
Description: SSU rRNA
Rfam family: Eukaryotic small subunit ribosomal RNA
Source: RNAcentral
AGCAGCCGCGGUAAUUCCAGCUCCAAUAGCGUAUAUUAAAGUUGUUGCAGUUAAAAAGCUCGUAGUUGAACUUCAGGCCUGGCUGGACGGUCCGCCCUCUGGGUGAGCACUGUCUGUGGUCGGGUCCUACCUUCUGGCGAAGCGGCAUGGCCUUAACCGGCCGUGGCGGGGAACCAGGACUUUUACUGUGAAAAAAUUAGAGUGUUCAAAGCAGGCACGCGCUUGAAUACAUUAGCAUGGAAUAAUGGAAUAGGACAAUGGUUCUAUUUGUUGGUUUCUAGGACCGUUGUAAUGAUUAAUAGGGAUAGUUGGGGGCAUUAGUAUUCAAUUGUCAGAGGUGAAAUUCUUGGAUUUAUUGAAGACUAACUACUGCGAAAGCAUUUGCCAAGGAUGUUUUCAUUAAUCAAGAACGAAAGUUAGGGGAUCGAAGACGAUCAGAUACCGUCGUAGUCUUAACCAUAAACUAUGCCGACUAGGAAUCGGGCGAUGUUGACAAAAUGACGCGCUCGGCACCU